UAGCAAUACCGCUGACGACCGGCGCACGGGUGAGUAACACGUAUCCAACCUUCCCAUAACUCGGGGAUAGCCUUUCGAAAGAAAGAUUAAUACCCGAUAGUACUUUAUUAAGGCAUCUUAAGAAAGUUAAAGAUUUAUUGGUUAUGGAUGGGGAUGCGUUCCAUUAGAUAGUUGGUGAGGUAACGGCUCACCAAGUCUUCGAUGGAUAGGGGUUCUGAGAGGAAGGUCCCCCACAUUGGUACUGAGACACGGACCAAACUCCUACGGGAGGCAACAGUGAGGAAUAUUGGUCAAUGGGCGAGAGCCUGAACCAGCCAAGUAGCGUGAAGGAUGACAG
RNAcentral lists this ribosomal RNA (337 nucleotides) under uncultured Bacteroidales bacterium. RNAcentral's name for it is "bacterial SSU rRNA". It matches the Rfam family "Bacterial small subunit ribosomal RNA", at positions 77 to 414 of the family's 1533-position model. The record is from RNAcentral. Lineage: Bacteria; Pseudomonadati; Bacteroidota; Bacteroidia; Bacteroidales.